This 74-nucleotide transfer RNA is filed under the name Elusimicrobiales bacterium. RNAcentral describes it as "tRNA-Ile". It matches the Rfam family "tRNA". Rfam says of the family: Transfer RNA (tRNA) molecules are approximately 80 nucleotides in length. Their secondary structure includes four short double-helical elements and three loops (D, anti-codon, and T loops). Lineage: Bacteria; Pseudomonadati; Elusimicrobiota; Elusimicrobia; Elusimicrobiales. The record is from RNAcentral. RNAcentral also lists the same sequence under 1 other name.
GCGCUCGUAGCUCAAUGGGUUAGAGCAACCGACUCAUAAUCGGUGGGUUGAAGGUUCAAGUCCUUCCGGGCGCA